CCACCCUCAGGCCCCGCCUGGUGUUGGGGGUCUGCGCCUGCAGCCCCCGAAAGACAGCGGCGGUCCCGGCCCCGGCCCCGAGCGUAGUACUGUACGUCGCUCCGGGCGCCGGGCGGGCCCCAGCCGGAAGCCUUCUCUUCUACAA
RNAcentral lists this unclassified non-coding RNA (145 nucleotides) under uncultured Chaetosphaeria. Its description in RNAcentral is "sequence contains ITS2". Lineage: Eukaryota; Fungi; Ascomycota; Sordariomycetes; Chaetosphaeriales; Chaetosphaeriaceae. The record is from RNAcentral.